RNAcentral lists this long non-coding RNA (222 nucleotides) under Nicotiana benthamiana. RNAcentral describes it as "long non-coding RNA (NBEN_LNC005076)". The record is from RNAcentral. Lineage: Eukaryota; Viridiplantae; Streptophyta; Magnoliopsida; Solanales; Solanaceae.
UUAGAUAGAAAACGUAAAAGGGUGUACAGAGUAAAAAAAGGGAGGUCGGGAGGUACCAACUCCCGAUGGAAAAACCUGGAAGUAUGCCUUGAUUCGCCCGAUAUCAACUACCGCUAGCUCUUGCACACUUCGUCCGGUGUUGCUUUGCUCUUCGUGUCCAAAUGUCGUAAGCUCUCCUUGUCCGCCGCGGCUUGUACCUGAAAAAAAAAAAAGGCUGCGUAG